UGCCUUUUAAUUGUAGGCCUGCAUGAAUGGCUCGACGAGGGUUUAACUGUCUCUGAUUUGUGAGUCCUAAAUUGGAUUAAAGGUGAAGAUACCUUUAUAUAAAAGUUAGACAAGAAGACCCCGUGCAACUUUUAAAGUCGGUUUAUUAAGAAAUUUAAGAUUUUUAGGUGGGGCGCCUACUGAGUAAUAUUAACCUCUGUGUAUAAUAAAUACUUUCAAGUUUAGACCCGACAUUGUCGAUCAUAGGAGAAGUUACGCCGGGGAUAACAGGGCUAAUCCGCUAGUAGAGAACGUAUUGGCUAGUGGGAUUGGCACCUCGAUGUUGAAUCAGGGAUGAUACCUUU
Molecule: ribosomal RNA, 344 nt
Filed under: Ostrea stentina
Lineage: Eukaryota; Metazoa; Mollusca; Bivalvia; Ostreida; Ostreidae
Description: partial 16S ribosomal RNA
Rfam family: Bacterial large subunit ribosomal RNA
Source: RNAcentral